UAAGGAAUAUUGGUCAAUGGGCGAAAGCCUGAACCAGCCAUGCCGCGUGCAGGAAGACGGCCCUAUGGGUUGUAAACUGCUUUUGACGGGGAAAAAAGACCGAGACGAGUUUUUGGUUUGCUUGUACCUGUUGAAUAAGCAUCGGCUAACUCCGUGCCAGCAGCCGCGGUAAUACGGAGGAUGCAAGCGUUAUCCGGAUUUAUUGGGUUUAAAGGGUGCGCAGGCGGACGAUUAAGUCAGUGUGAAAUGCAACAGCUUAACUGUUGAACUGCCAUUGAUACUGAUUAUCUAGAGUACAGACGACGUUGGCGGAAUGCGACAUGUAGCGGUGAAAUGCUUAGAGAUGUCGCAGAACACCGAUUGCAAGGCAGCUAACGAGGAUGUAACUGACGCUCAUGCA
This 400-nucleotide ribosomal RNA is filed under the name uncultured bacterium. Its description in RNAcentral is "bacterial SSU rRNA". It matches the Rfam family "Bacterial small subunit ribosomal RNA", at positions 355 to 753 of the family's 1533-position model. The record is from RNAcentral.